Molecule: ribosomal RNA, 1165 nt
Filed under: Trypanosyllis taboadai
Lineage: Eukaryota; Metazoa; Annelida; Polychaeta; Phyllodocida; Syllidae
Description: bacterial SSU rRNA
Rfam family: Eukaryotic small subunit ribosomal RNA
Source: RNAcentral
GCGACCUGUGGUAUAACUGUAGAAAAUCUAGAGCUAAUACAUGCACGAGUACAGCGCCGAUCCCCGGAGAGGCGCGCGUUUAUUAGACCAAGACCGGCGCCGGGGCCCCGUGUCCCGGCCACUCCGUGUUGACUCUGGAUAACAUUGCCGAUCGCCCGGCCUCGCUGCCGGCGACGUAUCUUUCAAAUGUCUGACCUAUCAGCUGGUUGGCCGUAGAGGUGACGGCCACGGGAUUGACGGGUAACGGGGAAUCAGGGUUUGAUUCCGGAGAGGGAGCCUGAGAAACGGCUACCACUUCUAAGGAAGGCAGCAGGCGCGCAAAUUACCCACUCUCGACUCGAGGAGGUAGUGAAGAGAAAUAACGUGACGCUAACCCCAAGAGGCUGCGUUGGGGAAUGAGACCCGUUUAAAGCCUUGUCUGAUGACCCAGUAGAGGGCAAGUCUGGUGCCAGCAGCCGCGGGUAAUGGGCCCACAUUACUUGGAAAAAAUUAGGGUGUUUCAGGCAGGCUGAAUACGGGGCUUGGAUAGUCUAACAUGGAAAUAACAGUUAAUGGAACUCCGGUUCCCUUCCUCCUGCUGGUAUACGGAACUUGCGAGCCAUGGCUAAGAGGGACAGACGGGGGAGCGGAUAAAUUUCGACGUGAGAGGUGAAAUUCCAGGACCGCCGUAAGACUAACGAACGCGAAAGCAUUCGCCCAGAAUGUUUUCAUAAAUCAAGAACGAAAGUUGGUGUAGCGAAGAGGAUCAGAUACCCUCCUAGUACUGACCGUAAACGAUGCCAACAGGAGGCCGGCGGAAGUAACUUGCAUUGUGGGACUAAGGCACCCGUCGGAACCCCGCGGGAAACCCGAGUGUCUGGGUUUCUGGGGAGAGAAUAUGGUUGCAAAGCUGAAACUUAAAGGUAUUGACGGAAGGGCACCACAAGGAGUGGAGCUUGCGGCUUAAUUUGACUCAACGCGGGGCAACUCACCCGGUCCGGACACCGCGGGGAUUGACAGAUUGAUAGCUCUUUCUUGAUUCGGUGGGUGGUGGUGCAUGGCCGUUCUUAGUACGUGGUGCAAACUGUCAGGUUAAAUCCGCUAACGUACGCGACUCUAGCCUAUUUACUAGAGCUGGACGAUGAUAAUAAGUCGCCGAUGCGAGGAACUUCUUAGGGGGAUCCAU